AACGAACGCUGGCGGCAUGCCUAACACAUGCAAGUCGAACGAGACCUUCGGGUCUAGUGGCGCACGGGUGCGUAACGCGUGGGAACCUGCCCUUAGGUUCGGAAUAACUCCCCGAAAGGGGUGCUAAUACCGGAUAAUGUCUUCGGACCAAAGAUUUAUAGCCUUUGGAUGGGCCCGCGUUGGAUUAGCUAGUUGGUAGGGUAAAAGCCUACCAAGGCGACGAUCCAUAGCUGGUCUGAGAGGAUGAUCAGCCACACUGGGACUGGGACACGGCCCAGACUCCUACGGGAGGCAGCAGUGGGGAAUAUUGGACAAUGGGCGAAAGCCUGAUCCAGCAAUGCCGCGUGAGUGAUGAAGGCCUUAGGGUUGUAAAGCUCUUUUACCCGGGAUGAUAAUGACAGUACCGGGAGAAUAAGCUCCGGCUAACUCCGUG
RNAcentral lists this ribosomal RNA (433 nucleotides) under uncultured bacterium. RNAcentral describes it as "partial 16S ribosomal RNA". It matches the Rfam family "Bacterial small subunit ribosomal RNA", at positions 29 to 507 of the family's 1533-position model. The record is from RNAcentral.